UGCCCAAUAGCUCAGUUGGUAGAGCAGGUGACUGUUAAUCACCUUGUCCCAAGUUCAAGUCUUGGUUGGGCAG
This 73-nucleotide transfer RNA is filed under the name Fibrobacterales bacterium. Its description in RNAcentral is "tRNA-Asn". It matches the Rfam family "tRNA". Rfam says of the family: Transfer RNA (tRNA) molecules are approximately 80 nucleotides in length. Their secondary structure includes four short double-helical elements and three loops (D, anti-codon, and T loops). Further hydrogen bonds mediate the characteristic L-shaped molecular structure. tRNAs have two regions of fundamental functional importance: the anti-codon, which is responsible for specific mRNA codon recognition, and the 3' end, to which the tRNAs corresponding amino acid is attached (by aminoacyl-tRNA synthetases). tRNAs cope with the degeneracy of the genetic code in two manners: having more than one tRNA (with a specific anti-codon) for a particular amino acid; and 'wobble' base-pairing, i.e. permitting non-standard base-pairing at the 3rd anti-codon position. Lineage: Bacteria; Pseudomonadati; Fibrobacterota; Fibrobacteria; Fibrobacterales. The record is from RNAcentral.